RNAcentral lists this ribosomal RNA (329 nucleotides) under uncultured bacterium. Its description in RNAcentral is "bacterial SSU rRNA". It matches the Rfam family "Bacterial small subunit ribosomal RNA", at positions 28 to 354 of the family's 1533-position model. The record is from RNAcentral.
GAUGAACGCUAGCGGCAGGCUUAAUACAUGCAAGUCGAACGGGAUCCGAGGUAGCAAUACUUUGGUGAGAGUGGCGCACGGGUGCGUAACGCGUAUGCAACCUACCUUUAACUGGGACACAACCCGCCGAAAGGCUGGCUAAUAUCCCAUAACAUUGCGAUGUGGCAUCACAUUGCAAUUAAAGCUCCGGCGGUUAUAGAUGGGCAUGCGUGACAUUAGCUAGUUGGUAAGGUAACGGCUUACCAAGGCUUCGAUGUCUAGGGGUUCUGAGAGGAUUAUCCCCCACACUGGUACUGAGACACGGACCAGACUCCUACGGGAGGCAGCAG